GACGAACGCUGGCGGCGUGCUUAACACAUGCAUGUCGAACGGUGAAGCGCCUUCCUUUUUGGUGGGUGUGGAUGAGUGGCGAACGGGUGAGUAACACGUGAGUAACCUGCCCCCUUCUUCUGGAUAACCGCAUGAAAGUGUGGCUAAUACGGGAUAUUCUGGGUCUGUCGCAUGAUGGGUCUGGGAAAGAUAUUGUUUCGGUGGGGGAUGGGCUCGCGGCCUAUCAGCUUGUUGGUGGGGUGAUGGCCUACCAAGGCGGUGACGGGUAGCCGGCCUGAGAGGGUGGACGGUCUCACUGGGACUGAGACACGGCCCAGACUCCUACGGGAGGCAGCAGUGGGGAAUAUUGCACAAUGGGCGCAAGCCUGAUGCAGCGACGCCGCGUGAGGGAUGGAGGCCUUCGGGUUGUGAACCUCUUUCGCCAGUGAAGCAGGCCUGCCUCGUUUGUGGGUGGGUUGACGGUAGCUGGAUAAGAAGCGCCGGCUAACUACGUG
This 494-nucleotide ribosomal RNA is filed under the name uncultured bacterium. RNAcentral describes it as "partial 16S ribosomal RNA". It matches the Rfam family "Bacterial small subunit ribosomal RNA", at positions 28 to 507 of the family's 1533-position model. The record is from RNAcentral.